UACGGAGGGUGCAAGCGUUAUCCGGAUUCACUGGGUUUAAAGGGUGCGUAGGCGGGCAGGUAAGUCAGUGGUGAAAUCCUUGAGCUUAACUCGAGAACUGCCAUUGAUACUAUCUGUCUUGAAUAUUGUGGAGGUAAGCGGAAUAUGUCAUGUAGCGGUGAAAUGCUUAGAUAUGACAUAGAACACCAAUUGCGAAGGCAGCUUACUACGGAUUGAUUGACACUGAGGCACGAAAGCGUGGGGAUCAAACAGG
RNAcentral lists this ribosomal RNA (253 nucleotides) under uncultured bacterium. RNAcentral's name for it is "partial 16S ribosomal RNA". It matches the Rfam family "Bacterial small subunit ribosomal RNA", at positions 524 to 776 of the family's 1533-position model. The record is from RNAcentral.